GUGACGACACUGAGUAUGCCAUUAAAUAUCCGUAGGCGGGCCCCGAGCGAUCUCUCGGCCUUAGCGCCAUCUUUUGAGAAACCUCUGCGCCAUGAGAGCGAAGUGGAGAAAGAAGCGAAUGCGCAGGCUGAAGCGCAAAAGAAGAAAGAUGAGGCAGAGGUCCAAGUAAACUUGUACACCCAUGGAAGCCACAGAAGCAGAAACAAGGGAAGCCAGAGGCCAGGGACGCUGGUACAAAUUGUGGACUGCAUGCCUACUAUCUAGAACUUCUCAAUGGAUCUGGAACAUCUAUUGCCAUUCUGAUCGCCUUGACCACCUUUGAGAGACCUACCUUGCUCGUAUC
Molecule: long non-coding RNA, 343 nt
Organism: Odocoileus virginianus texanus
Lineage: Eukaryota; Metazoa; Chordata; Mammalia; Artiodactyla; Cervidae
Source: RefSeq, a predicted model, not a curated record